Molecule: unclassified non-coding RNA, 178 nt
Filed under: Amphimedon queenslandica
Lineage: Eukaryota; Metazoa; Porifera; Demospongiae; Haplosclerida; Niphatidae
Description: peptidyl-prolyl cis-trans isomerase CWC27 homolog, transcript variant X2
Source: RNAcentral
AGCGAAGGGGCGUGGCGAGACUAAUAUUGAUAUUGAACUGUAGUCCAAAGAGGCUCCUCUGGCCUGUCGUAACUUCAUACAAUUGUGUUUAGAAGAUUAUUAUAAUGAUACCAUAUUCCACAGAGUCGUUUUUGAGUUUGUAGCUCAAGGUGGUGAUCCCACUGGUACAGGAGAAGAU